RNAcentral lists this ribosomal RNA (333 nucleotides) under uncultured eukaryote. RNAcentral describes it as "partial 18S ribosomal RNA". It matches the Rfam family "Eukaryotic small subunit ribosomal RNA", at positions 1470 to 1796 of the family's 1831-position model. The record is from RNAcentral.
CCCUUAGAUGUUCUGGGCUGCACGCGCGCUACACUGAUGCGCUCAACGAGUUUACGACCUUGCCCGGAAGGGUUGGGUAAUCUUUUUAAAACGCAUCGUGAUGGGGAUAGAUUAUUGCAAUUAUUAAUCUUUAACGAGGAAUUCCCAGUAAGCGCGAGUCAUAAGCUCGCGUUGAUUACGUCCCUGCCCUUUGUACACACCGCCCGUCGCUACUACCGAUUGAACGGUUUAGUGAGGGCCUCGGAUUGGUCUCGGCCCGCUCUUUACCGGGCGGCGCCGUUGGUCGAGAAGACGCUCGAACUUGAUCGUUUAGAGGAAGUAAAAGUCGUAACA